CUGGAGGUUGCUUUGUUGGUGCUGUGAGGAUCGACGGGACACCGCCAUUUUCCCCCCGAAGCUCCGUCUGUCAACAAUAACAGCUGGAGCCACUGCGCUUCCGCUCAGUGCGAGAAGGCUUCCGGUUGGAGGCUAUGCGAGACAGAUGGGAAUCAAGAUUCAUAUCUGAAGAGCUGAAUAUUACAGAAUGCUUCCAGAGGAGAAAAGAUCGAUGCUUAAAAAGUCUGAUGGAUGCAAAUAAUGACCAAGCCCACGUCGGUGGUCAAGGGAAGAUAAUGGAUGCCAAGAACCCCAAAACUCCUUAUUUGCUUAUUGCUUAUCAUACAUAAACAUGAGAAUAAUCUUACUGAUAAACACUUGCCAGUCAUAAUCAUUUCAGUAGAUUGAACUUAUUGGAAAAUGCUCAUUUAAAUGCCAUAUUUUGUAUUAGAGGUAUUAUUUUUACCCCUUUACCUCGUUUUAAUAAGGUUUUUCCCUCUAUUUAAUAAAACAUUAUGUGACAAUUGAUGAUUACAUUUGCAUUAACUACAGGGAUAUUUUUGAUUGCAUUAACCAACACUCUGUCACUUUAUAAGUUCAGGUUCAAAAAUAAAUAUGUAAAAAUAAUAAUAAUGUUUUCUAAAUCUAAAACACUUACAGAUUCAAUGUAGACAAGAGUCUGUUUUCUGAUAUAUGGUGCUUGUUUCAGAUCAGCACACAUGCACCAAAAGAACUUUACCGAUGGUGCCUUUUGCACUUUUGACUGUUCACACAGAGAAAGUGUGAAAAUGCAGAGAAAAUACGAGCAAAUGCUUCAGUUUGGUGUGUUGUAAAACCUCUAACACAGAUGUGAAAAUAAUAAAAAAAGUGAAGUGAACAUGCUGCAGCUUCAAUGUUUAGCCUGCUCAGAACAGCUAAGAUGAAAUCAAAGAUUUGACAUAUUGUUUGGUUAGACACUACAUGCUUGUAAUCAGUUUGAAUGUUUGCUGAAGUAUACACAGAUGUGACAGACCUGAUCUCAAGUGAAGAAAAACAAAAACAAAUGGUCAGUAGUUAAAACAUACUGACAUUUUACAGGAUUCCCAUAGCUUUUGAGAAAGGCAUUCCAUAAAUUCUCCAGUAAUUUGAGGUUAUGCAGAAAUGUUAAACAUAUUGCAGACUGCUAUCACAAUGAACAACUUUUAGCUAAAUAACUUAGAUCGGAGCAUGUUUUUUUGUUUGUUAUUUUUUUCA
Carassius gibelio (silver crucian carp) is the source of this 1212-nucleotide long non-coding RNA. RefSeq lists it as uncharacterized. The transcript has 4 exons. NCBI's taxonomy places the organism in Eukaryota, Metazoa, Chordata, Actinopteri, Cypriniformes, Cyprinidae. The record is from RefSeq and is a predicted model, not a curated record.